AGAACCCCGGCGAGGGGAGUGAAAAAGAACCUGAAACCGUGUACGUACAAGCAGUGGGAGCACCCUUCGGGGUGUGACUGCGUACCUUUUGUAUAAUGGGUCAGCGACUUAUAUUCUGUAGCAAGGUUAACCGAAUAGGGGAGCCGGAGGGAAACCGAGUCUUAAUUGGGCGUUAAGUUGCAGGGUAUAGACCCGAAACCCGGUGAUCUAGCCAUGGGCAGGUUGAAGGUUGGGUAACACUAACUGGAGGACCGAACCGACUAAUGUUGAAAAAUUAGCGGAUGACCUGUGGCUGGGGGUGAAAGGCCAAUCAAACCGGGAGAUAGCUGGUUCUCCCCGAAAGCUAUUUAGGUAGCGCCUCGUGAAUUCAUCUCCGGGGGUAGAGCACUGUUUCGGCUAGGGGGCCAUCCCGGCUUACCAACCCGAUGCAAACUGCGAAUACCGGAGAAUGUUAUCACGGGAGACACACGGCGGGUGCUAACGUCCGUCGUGAAGAGGGAAACAACCCAGACCGCCAGCUAAGGUCCCAAAGUCAUGGUUAAGUGGGAAACGAUGUGGGAAGGCCCAGACAGCCAGGAUGUUGGCUUAGAAGCAGCCAUCAUUUAAAGAAAGCGUAAUAGCUCACUGGUCGAGUCGGCCUGCGCGGAAGAUGUAACGGGGCUAAACCAUGCACCGAAGCUGCGGCAGCGACACUGUGUGUUGUUGGGUAGGGGAGCGUUCUGUAAGCCUGUGAAGGUGUGUCGUGAGGCAUGCUGGAGGUAUCAGAAGUGCGAAUGCUGACAUAAGUAACGAUAAAGCGGGUGAAAAGCCCGCUCGCCGGAAGACCAAGGGUUCCUGUCCAACGUUAAUCGGGGCAGGGUGAGUCGACCCCUAAGGCGAGGCCGAAAGGCGUAGUCGAUGGGAAACGGGUUAAUAUUCCCGUACUUGGUGUUACUGCGAAGGGGGGACGGAGAAGGCUAUGUUGGCCGGGCGACGGUUGUCCCGGUUUAAGCGUGUAGGUGUGUGUUCCAGGUAAAUCCGGUUCACUUUAACACUGAGGCGUGACGACGAGGCACUACGGUGCUGAAGCAACAAAUGCCCUGCUUCCAGGAAAAGCCUCUAAGCAUCAGGUAACAUCAAAUCGUACCCCAAACCGACACAGGUGGUCAGGUAGAGAAUACCAAGGCGCUUGAGAGAACUCGGGUGAAGGAACUAGGCAAAAUGGUGCCGUAACUUCGGGAGAAGGCACGCUGACACGUAGGUGAAGUGAUUUACUCAUGGAGCUGAAGUCAGUCGAAGAUACCAGCUGGCUGCAACUGUUUAUUAAAAACACAGCACUGUGCAAACACGAAAGUGGACGUAUACGGUGUGACGCCUGCCCGGUGCCGGAAGGUUAAUUGAUGGGGUCAGCGCAAGCGAAGCUCCUGAUCGAAGCCCCGGUAAACGGCGGCCGUAACUAUAACGGUCCUAAGGUAGCGAAAUUCCUUGUCGGGUAAGUUCCGACCUGCACGAAUGGCGUAAUGAUGGCCAGGCUGUCUCCACCCGAGACUCAGUGAAAUUGAACUCGCUGUGAAGAUGCAGUGUACCCGCGGCAAGACGGAAAGACCCCGUGAACCUUUACUAUAGCUUGACACUGAACAUUGAGCCUUGAUGUGUAGGAUAGGUGGGAGGCUUUGAAGCGUGGACGCCAGUCUGCGUGGAGCCGACCUUGAAAUACCACCCUUUAAUGUUUGAUGUUCUAACGUGGACCCGU
Molecule: ribosomal RNA, 1732 nt
Filed under: Salmonella enterica subsp. enterica serovar Stanley
Lineage: Bacteria; Pseudomonadati; Pseudomonadota; Gammaproteobacteria; Enterobacterales; Enterobacteriaceae
Description: partial 23S ribosomal RNA
Rfam family: Bacterial large subunit ribosomal RNA
Source: RNAcentral